CAUACACAUACAAGAUUUAACCAACAUUUGAGUAUAUUGCAUAUAAGCGUGUCAGCAAAAUAAAAAAGGAAAAAAAAAUCGGCAAAUCGGCAGGAAAAAACGGAAACGUCGAGAAGCUAAAGCACAGUCCGUGUCGAACGACAACAGGCUUUUCCCCCGGAGUGUCGUGUGUCAGUCAGAAUGGUCAAUCCCCAUCGGAUGCUGAAACAAAAGGCCUCAAUUACACCGGGAACGGUGCUAGUAAUCGGUCUUCGACGGCAGGUGCUGAUAAUUGGAAGCUUCAAAAACUCGGGCAGCAUGUACUUCCUCGAAAUAAGGAAUCACUGCCGACAUGCCGGAACAAGGGAUUUUUCCAUUGGGGUCGAUUGACAUCAGACCACACCGGACGCCAGAUACGGUCUUCCCGCGGUGGAACAACAGGAAAAGAUGGUUGCCCGUUCGCGGAUAAAGCUUCCUUCCGUUCUGCCUAAUCCUGCACUGAGAUCGGUGGACUUUCCGGCUGGGUAGUUAUCAGCAGAAGUAGGAUAAAUAAUUUCCUGUACAUUUACCACUACCACCCUAUGGCUGUAAUGAUCGGAUUGUGGCGGAGGCUGAACGAGCCAGAAAUAAAAUUUGAAUAGGUGUUAUUUUGUGCAUUAAAGUAUAAUCAAAUCAAUAAAAAUAAAUUCAAAAUUAAAAAUCAUUGGAAGAACCGCUAGAACCAGAAAGCAAUAUACAAUAAAUAUGAUGACUUCUAAAAUGGACAGCUGUCGAAUCUACAAUAUCUAUAGUUGAUCUCAUGAAAUCAAUCAUAGAAAUAUAAUUAUAUCUAUUAUAUUUACAGUUAAAUCAAUUAUACCAGUAUUGUUGAAUUUAUUAUAAUUCUUGUUGAAAGCACAACAUCAAUUAUUGACUAUAGUUGAAUCUAUUAUAUUUAUAGUUGAGUGCAAAACAAUCAAUCAGAUCGGUAGAAUCGAAUUUAUUAUACGCAUUUUUGAACACACAAAAACAAUCCGAUAAUCUAUUGUAUAUAUAAUUGAAAGUUUGAUAUUUAUAGUUAGCCGAGAAAUAAUCAGAAAUAUGAUUGAAUAAAAGUGGAUUAUUGUUAAAAAUACUAUACUUUUUUCUCCGUGCA
Uranotaenia lowii is the source of this 1114-nucleotide long non-coding RNA. RefSeq lists it as uncharacterized. The transcript has 4 exons. Lineage: Eukaryota; Metazoa; Arthropoda; Insecta; Diptera; Culicidae. The record is from RefSeq and is a predicted model, not a curated record.